Acipenser ruthenus (sterlet) is the source of this 1037-nucleotide long non-coding RNA. RefSeq lists it as uncharacterized. The transcript is spliced from 2 exons. The record is from RefSeq and is a predicted model, not a curated record. NCBI's taxonomy places the organism in Eukaryota, Metazoa, Chordata, Actinopteri, Acipenseriformes, Acipenseridae.
ACUGAGCAGGCAGAAGCGCGUGCAGGCAGAAGCGCGUGCAGGCAGAAGCGCGUGCAGGCAGAAGCGCGUAGCCUUGGAGGAAUCAUCUUGGGAAAUCGAUUGUUUGCUGGAUUACUUUUCUUCUGGCUGGAACGCUGCUGAGGGAACUGGCCAGAGCUUCAAUCAUUGGAUCCAACAGAUACGGAUUAUUAGUUGGCGUCCCAGCUUUUGGACACCUGGGUCUUUCUCCCCACGGAUCUGGGAGAGGGGUUAUAUUUUGAAUUCUACCCAUGCUGAAAGAAAUAAGAAGAAAGGAUUAUUGUUUACACAGAUGGACAAAUUCCUAGUCUACUUACCUACGCUGGUUGGCCCCGUAUCACCCUUCUGGGUGUAUUCGAGGCCUACGGUGUGUUACUUGCCUUACCUCCAGGUUUUCUAGUCCAGCUUCCAGGUCGGGCGUGGUGGCAGUACACAAAGGAUCGGGCGAGGUCUGAGGGCAUGGUAGGAACGUGGGAGAGUGGAGAGAAAUGCGACGUGAAAGACUGGCUUAAGGGAAGUGACCAGAGCUUCUGGGUGGAAGUAGUGAUUUACUUACCUGUGUUUCAGCUUCUGAUGCUUCCUCCUGCUUCACUCCUCCUUCCCAGGUGCAACGGGGACAGUGGUGGUCGAUUGGCCGGGAGAGGUCCAGCAGAGAGCGGCUGUCCUACCAGCGACGAGGAGUCCGAUUACGGACCAAGCGAGUUGGAGGAGAAGACCCCGGGAGCAUGGGAUUUACCCCCGGACUAUUUCUUUCUGUUUUGUCCCAUCUUUGUGUUACGUCCGUGACUGGUGUUUUAUGUGGACCUUGUUUUUAUGGUUUUUUUUUUUUUUUCUUGGAGCUAGUGACCGACAGGAGGGGAUUGCCUUAGUGUGCUGUGGAUUUUUGCUUUUUUUUCUGUUCUGUUUUUGGCCUUCCCUCGUGUGGUCCUUUUUUUAUUUUAGUCUACCAAUUCUUUUUUUUUUUUUUUUUGUACCGUGUUUUUAGUACCCUGUUGAACAAUAAAAUUUGUUUUAUCCGA